Molecule: ribosomal RNA, 278 nt
Filed under: uncultured bacterium
Lineage: Bacteria
Description: partial 16S ribosomal RNA
Rfam family: Bacterial small subunit ribosomal RNA
Source: RNAcentral
CCUGCACCUGCCGGCGACCGGCGCACGGGUGAGUAACACGUAUGGAACCUGCCCGCCACAGGGGGAUAACCCGGGGAAACCCGGCCUAAUACCCCAUGCCGCCCGGACCGGGCAUCCGGUCCGGGCGAAAGGAGGAAUCCGGUGGCGGCUGGGCAUGCGGCGCAUUAGCUUGACGGCGGGGUAACGGCCCACCGUGGCGACGAUGCGUAGGGGUUCUGAGAGGAAGGCCCCCCACACUGGAACUGAGACACGGACCAGACUCCUACGGAAGGCAGCAG